Molecule: non-coding RNA, 23 nt
Filed under: Cricetulus griseus (Chinese hamster)
Lineage: Eukaryota; Metazoa; Chordata; Mammalia; Rodentia; Cricetidae
Source: RNAcentral
GGGAACGUGUGCAAAAUGGCGAC